AUUGAACGCUGGCGGCAUGCCUUACACAUGCAAGUCGAACGGUAACAGGUCUUCGGAUGCUGACGAGUGGCGAACGGGUGAGUAAUACAUCGGAACGUGCCUAGUAGUGGGAGAUAACUACUCGAAGGAGUGGCUAAUACCGCAUGAGAUCUACGGAUGAAAGCAGGGGAUCGCAAGACCUUGUGCUACUAGAGCGGCCGAUGGCAGAUUAGGUAGUUGGUGGGAUAAAAGCUUACCAAGCCGACGAUCUGUAGCUGGUCUGAGAGGACGAUCAGCCACACUGGGACUGAGACACGGCCCAGACUCCUACGGGAGGCAGCAGUGGGGAAUUUUGGACAAUGGGCGAAAGCCUGAUCCAGCAAUGCCGCGUGCAGGAUGAAGGCCUUCGGGUUGUAAACUGCUUUUGUACGGAACGAAAAGCCCCGGGUUAAUACCCUGGGGUCAUGACGGUACCGUAAGAAUAAGCACCGGCUAACUACAUGCCAGCCGCCGCAGUAA
This 498-nucleotide ribosomal RNA is filed under the name uncultured bacterium. Its description in RNAcentral is "partial 16S ribosomal RNA". It matches the Rfam family "Bacterial small subunit ribosomal RNA", at positions 30 to 523 of the family's 1533-position model. The record is from RNAcentral.